ACGAGCAUAAAAUUGUUGAGCUCGAACAAGCUCCGAGUCCGGGAAACCACUCGAGAUCGACAACAUUUUGAAUUUAUACGGGUUUUUCCUCAAAUUAAUUGAGAAUAGUUCAAGUACUUAUUGAAUUAAUUAAUCAAGUAUUAGGAUGCUAGUGUAGUGAUUAGUAUCCAUUUCGAUUGUGCUCAUCUCUCCCUUCCCCGCAAGAUCCAGCUUGUAAUUUGCAGAGAUUCAUGGCGAAUGCGUGGAGACGAAACCAGUCCACCAAAAUCCUGACCCCCAAAAACCUCGUUCUCUUCAUCUCCACCUCCCUCCUCCUCCUCAUCUUCCUCCACCUCUCCUCCCAAACUCCCACCAGAAAUCCUAGCACCAAAUCCAUCAAAGAUUCAAUUUCGCAGCGGGCCAUCAAGCCCUUCGAUUGCCUCGCGGCCCCACAGGCCCACCCCGUCGUGGCCAACACCGUGGAGGGCCUCAAGUUCCCCUUCCUCUACUCGCUCUCCGACUUCGGAACCUUGCCCGACAAGCCCCACAAGAACAUCGUCCGCACACUCAAGGGGAAGCCCUUUCGCCGCCCCGAUAUAUCAGCCACGGUGCAGGAGCUGCUGGGGGAGAUCAAGCCGCGCGAUAGGGAAGGGGUUUUUGUUGACGUCGGCGCUAAUGUGGGGAUGGCGAGCUUCGCUGCGGCGGUGAUGGGGUUCAGAGUGCUUGCCUUCGAGCCGGUUUUCGAGAAUUUACAGAGGAUUUGCGAUGGGAUUUAUUUCAAUAGAGUUGGGGAUUUGGUCGAGCUGUUCGAAGCCGCUGCCUCUGAUAGCUCCGGAAACAUCACAUUCCAUAAGUUGGUUGGUCGACUUGACAACAGCGCAGUCUCAGCCACUGGUGCUAAGAUGGCUUUUAAGUCGAAUGAAGAGAUUGCAGUUCAAGUGAGGUCCAUUCCUCUCGAUGAAGUGAUCCCAGUGUCUGAGCGCGUUCUUUUACUUAAGAUAGAUGUUCAGGGUUGGGAGUAUCACGUCCUAAAGGGCGCUUCAAAAUUACUAUCGAGAAACAAGAGUGAAGCCCCAUACCUCAUAUACGAAGAAGACCCUCGCUUAUUACAAGCGAGCAAUACUAGUGCACAUGAGAUAAGGGAGUUCCUUCGCACAAUGGGUUACCACAAAUGCACACAGCACGGCACAGAUGCACACUGCACGAAAACAGAUUGAAAUCUUCACCAAUUUACCACAUGAGGCACUUACAUGUAAUAUGAUAGGCAAUCGAUCAAGUCGUGCAGUUUUCUAACAGAUGGCCAUGCCUUUGAACGAAUGAUUUCUGCAAUGCUGAGAAAGAGGAUAGACUUGAUUUGCAGGUGUUCAGUAAAGAACUCACUUACCUGAAGGUUGAUUUGGAUGUCUGCAGAUGGUUGAGUGUUUUUUAACCAUCCAUAUAGUAUUCGUAAGAUGAAUGAUCUUUUCAGCUAAAGAAAUUUUAAGACUUAAAUAAUUCAUUUUGCAUCAUCCAUCUUGAAGAUUUUGUGCUUUAAAAUGGAAGCUGUAACCUUUCGUCUAGGAUCUGGGAUCAGUGCUCCUUUAGGAUACAGCGCAGACUUUUAGGCUGUUCAAUUGUUAUUACUAAGCUUUUUAAGUUUUAAAAAGCCUCUACUUUGCAAUUUCCUAUGAACAAUUUGAAAUGUGGAGACCAUAAUGUUUUUGUGUGGUGACAAUAUACUGCAUACCUUUUAAUACUUGCAAAACAGUUUAACAGACAGUUUUCUCCAUCCGUUAGGUUUCAUACUUGUCCAAAAUAUAUUCACUUGUUGGUUUGACCUUUUUACGAAUAAUAGGUGCUCGAGUUGCUUGAUAUUGUCCAGUUUGAGUCUUGAUAUCAGUUUGAAGUCGUUGCAGUUUGUUUUUAGUGCAAAAUACUCAUCCCUGGUAAGGUGAAAUCAUUUUUGCAUUAGUAUAUUUACUUUAUCUAAUGCUAUAUGCUUUGCAGGCUGAGCAUAUCCUCACCAGCCCAAAAACAUCAGGAAGGGGUUGUCUAGGGAUGGCAAUAAUACCCGCGGGUUCGGGCACACGCCCCUAAUGGGCCGGGUCUAUGGUUGAAAUUUUGGGGCCAGAUUCGGGGGCCGGUAUGAAACUUAUACCCAGGGCGGGUUCGGGGUAUAGGUACCCGCCCCGAUUGUAUUUUUAUAUGUCUGAUAGAGUUUUUGUUAGAAGAUAUAUUUGAGUUCUAAUUGGUGAAAUUGGUUUGUUUGUGAUGCUGAAUAAUACUCUUAUUUAUUUUGAGUUUAUAUGUUUGAUGGAAUGGAUAAAAUGCUUGUUGUAUAAGAAAAUCUUGCAAAAUAAAUAAAUAAAUAAAUUGGUGGGUACCCGACGGGUACCCUUCCUCCGCUGGAUAAUCCCAGCCCCGAACCCGCCCCGAUUUAAAUGGGUAUGGAGGCGGAUAUGGGGGUAAUGUUUUGAGAUAUGGGGGUGUAAAAGCAAUCCCUGACCCAAACCCGCCCCGUUGCCAUCCCUAGGGUUGACUAUUACAGUUCAGAACAUGGAGAUCGGCUUAUCCUAGACUUUGGCAGAAGCUCAAUUUGUAUGACGACCAAUCAAGUACUUUUGGGAGUGAAGCUGAGUUGAACGAAACAAGAGAAGCAAUUCAACAACUUUUAAGAUGGGGAUGGAAAUACCACAAGAUCCUUGAGGAACAAGCUGCUAGCUACAUAUGUAAACAAGCUGGUCUCAGAAUGUUGAGGUUCGCUUGAUCUUAUCAUCUUCCUUAAUAUUCUAUAAUUAAGAGCCCUACAUCACAGGAUUGAGUUGGCUCUGGCUCUGGGAGUUGAGGGCGAUUUUUUUUUGAUACUUUUAUACAUGCAUAAAGUCAAUCUUCCCAUUUUUCUAUUUUCUUGAUGUUGAAUUGUAACUUCAGAAAAUAAUAGGUGACAAGAUGCCAGCAAGUUGGUAAAAGAAAGUGUUGGUUUUGAUUUAAGAAGUUAAUUAUUUGGCAA
Salvia miltiorrhiza (redroot sage) is the source of this 2968-nucleotide RNA transcript. RefSeq lists it as uncharacterized. Lineage: Eukaryota; Viridiplantae; Streptophyta; Magnoliopsida; Lamiales; Lamiaceae. The transcript has 4 exons. The record is from RefSeq and is a predicted model, not a curated record.